CCUGCAUUACCUUUCAAGCAUUCAAUUCCAGCACUUUUCAAACCUUCAAUGAUCAUUUCAUAUCUUUUCCUUAAUCUUUCUCUAUUGACCUUGAUGUAAUUAUCAGUGAAACUUUCAUCUGACAACAUUGAUGCUAAAAGAUGUUGUGUUUGUGAAGAUAUUAAGGUAAAACUCGACAUUCUUCGUGCUGUUGUAACAACUUUAUCGUUGUAGGAAUAAAUUGUUCCGACUCUGAAACCUGGUAGACCGAGAUCUUUAGAAAGACUAUAAACAAUGUGACAUCUUUCCGCGUCUUUGUAUUGACGAGAUUCAAGAAUCUCGGCUAUGCUUAUGAAUUCAUGUGAAGAGAAAACUGAGCCCGAGUAGAUUUCGUCUGAGACAAGGUGUAUGUUCUUGCGAGUCACGAAGUUCAGAAUGUCCUCGAGAACUGAACGUUGAAUCGAUAUGCCUAAUGGAUUUGAUGGGUUGGUUAUAAGUACUGCUUUUACUUUCAUGUUCAUGGAUUCUGCAUUUUUGUAUGCAGUUUCUAAUGCUUCAAGUGUGAUUUGAAAAUUGUUUGAGCUAUCACAAUGGAUUGGAAUUAUGUUUACACCAGUUCUCCAUCUCAAAUCUCUAUCAAAUCUGCAAAAUCAAAAAAUAUAUACAUUAGUUUAA
This 654-nucleotide long non-coding RNA is filed under the name Medicago truncatula (barrel medic). RNAcentral describes it as "lncRNA gene37891". Lineage: Eukaryota; Viridiplantae; Streptophyta; Magnoliopsida; Fabales; Fabaceae. The record is from RNAcentral.